GACGAACGCUGGCGGCGUGCUUAACACAUGCAAGUCGAACAGAAAGGCCCUGCUUUUGUGGGGUGCUCGAGUGGCGAACGGGUGAGUAACACGUGAGUAACCUGCCCUUGACUUUGGGAUAACUUCAGGAAACUGGGGCUAAUACCGGAUAGGAGCUCCUGCUGCAUGGUGGGGGUUGGAAAGUUUCGGCGGUUGGGGAUGGACUCGCGGCUUAUCAGCUUGUUGGUGGGGUAGUGGCUUACCAAGGCUUUGACGGGUAGCCGGCCUGAGAGGGUGACCGGCCACAUUGGGACUGCGAUACGGCCCAAACUCCUACGGGAGGCAGCAGUGGGGAAUAUUGCACAAUGGGCGGAAGCCUGAUGCAGCAACGCCGCGUGCGGGAUGACGGCCUUCGGGUUGUAAACCGCUUUCGCCUGUGACGAAGCGUGAGUGACGGUAAUGGGUAAAGAAGCACCGGCUAACUACGUG
Molecule: ribosomal RNA, 468 nt
Filed under: uncultured bacterium
Lineage: Bacteria
Description: partial 16S ribosomal RNA
Rfam family: Bacterial small subunit ribosomal RNA
Source: RNAcentral